ACGAACGCUGGCGGCGUGCUUAACACCUGCCAGUCGCACGGAAAGGCCCUGCUUUUGUGGGGUGCUCGAGUGGCGAACGGGUGAGUAACACGUGAGUAACCUGCCCUUGACUUUGGGAUAACUUCAGGAAACUGGGGCUAAUACCGGAUAGGAGCUCCUGCUGCAUGGUGGGGGUUGGAAAGUUUCGGCGGUUGGGGAUGGACUCGCGGCUUAUCAGCUUGUUGGUGGGGUAGUGGCUUACCAAGGCUUUGACGGGUAGCCGGCCUGAGAGGGUGACCGGCCACAUUGGGACUGAGAUACGGCCCAGACUCCUACGGGAGGCAGCAGUGGGGAAUAUUGCACAAUGGGCGGAAGCCUGAUGCAGCAACGCCGCAUGCGGGAUGACGGCCUUCGGGUUGUAAACCGCUUUCGCCUGUGACGAAGCGUGAGUGACGGUAAUGGGUAAAGAAGCACCGGCUAACUACGUG
Molecule: ribosomal RNA, 467 nt
Filed under: uncultured bacterium
Lineage: Bacteria
Description: partial 16S ribosomal RNA
Rfam family: Bacterial small subunit ribosomal RNA
Source: RNAcentral